RNAcentral lists this ribosomal RNA (161 nucleotides) under Hordeum euclaston. RNAcentral's name for it is "5.8S ribosomal RNA". It matches the Rfam family "5.8S ribosomal RNA". Rfam says of the family: 5.8S ribosomal RNA (5.8S rRNA) is a component of the large subunit of the eukaryotic ribosome. It is transcribed by RNA polymerase I as part of the 45S precursor that also contains 18S and 28S rRNA. Functionally, it is thought that 5.8S rRNA may be involved in ribosome translocation. The record is from RNAcentral. Lineage: Eukaryota; Viridiplantae; Streptophyta; Magnoliopsida; Poales; Poaceae.
ACGACUCUCGGCAACGGAUAUCUCGGCUCUCGCAUCGAUGAAGAACGUAGCGAAAUGCGAUACCUGGUGUGAAUUGCAGAAUCCCGCGAACCAUCGAGUCUUUGAACGCAAGUUGCGCCCGAGGCCACUCGGCCGAGGGCACGCCUACCUGGGCGUCACGC